AGUUUGAUCAUGGCUCAGGAUGAACGCUAGCUACAGGCUUAACACAUGCAAGUCGAGGGGCAGCAUGGAGUUUGCUUGCAAACUCUGAUGGCGACCGGCGCACGGGUGAGUAACGCGUAUCCAACCUUCCCUAUAGUAGAGGAUAGCCCGGCGAAAGUCGGAUUAAUACUCUAUGUUUUCCGUUGCAGACAUCUAAGAUGGAACAAAGGCUUGCCGCUAUAGGAUGGGGAUGCGUCUGAUUAGGUAGUCGGCGGGGUAACGGCCCACCGAGCCAUCGAUCAGUAGGGGUUCUGAGAGGAAGGUCCCCCACAUUGGAACUGAGACACGGUCCAAACUCCUACGGGAGGCAGCAGUGAGGAAUAUUGGUCAAUGGGCGAGAGCCUGAACCAGCCAAGUAGCCGUGCAGGAUGACGGCCCUAUGGGUUGUAAACUGCUUUUAUGCGGGGAUAAAGUUCACUACGUGUAGUGUUUUGUAGGUACCGCAUGAAUAAGGACCGGCUAAUUCCGUGCCAGCCGCCGC
This 520-nucleotide ribosomal RNA is filed under the name uncultured bacterium. RNAcentral describes it as "bacterial SSU rRNA". It matches the Rfam family "Bacterial small subunit ribosomal RNA", at positions 10 to 518 of the family's 1533-position model. The record is from RNAcentral.